AUCAUCAUCAACAUCAACAUCAACAUCAUCAUCAUCAUCAUCUUUAUCUUUCUCAUCAGGAGAAUCUCCACUGGUCUCAUCUGUGUCUCCUAUAACAGGCUCUUCUCUGAUCAUCAGUGUGUCUGUGCUUCUGCUUCUGAUCUUCACUGUGAUUCUGAUAGUGAUCAUCACUCUCUGGAGGAGACGGCAGUUGCACAACGCUCAUUCCUCAUUCAAAAGAUCUCAAAGGACACCAGCAAACAUUGACGCGGCUUCUCAUUAUCAUUGUGAUUACGAGGAGACUGAAUACAAUCACAGACAAUUACCCACAAACCCCUCUGAUUCUACUAAUGCAAUCUAUGCUAAUCCAGAAUUACCCACAAACCCCUCUGAUUCUACUAAUACCAUCUAUGCUACUCCACAAUUACCCAUAAACCCUUCUGAUUCUACUAAUACAAUCUAUGCUAAUCCAGAAUUUCCAUAAACCCCUCUGAUUCUUCCAACAGCGUUCACACUUUAACAUCGCAGAAGUCCACGUCUUUCAGUCAUUAUCAUCCACUGAGGGUCUGAAUGACACAGACGGUCUUAAUGAUGUUCCUUCAACAAUUAUCUGUCUUUACAUUAAUGUCUGUCAUUGCAUGCAGCUGUGUGACUACAGUAAAUAUAUGUUAGCGAUCUGCUGUUUUUAAUUUAUUUGCUCAGUAAACACAACCAUUGCACCUGCUGAAGGGAUUUAUGUAAUUUUCUCAAUAUGUUUAAAACAUGGCAUGUAUUUGUGAACAAAAUAAAAGAUGACUGUUCUUUAUGACAACACAGCAUUAUUAUUUUAGCAUCAAACCACAUCAGUAACUAAUUUUCCCAAGUAGGGGUAACUGCAGCCUGGAGCAAUGGGC
Long non-coding RNA from Cyprinus carpio (common carp), 872 nucleotides. RefSeq lists it as uncharacterized. The transcript has 4 exons. The record is from RefSeq and is a predicted model, not a curated record. Lineage: Eukaryota; Metazoa; Chordata; Actinopteri; Cypriniformes; Cyprinidae.